UCCUACGGGGGGCAGCAGUGAGGAAUAUUGGUCAAUGGGCGAGAGCCUGAACCAGCCAAGUCGCGUGAGGGAAGACGGUCCUAUGGAUUGUAAACCUCUUUUGUCGGGGAGCAAAAAGGCCUCGUGAGGCCACAAGUGAGAGUACCCGAAGAAAAAGCAUCGGCUAACUCCGUGCCAGCAGCCGCGGUAAUACGGAGGAUGCGAGCGUUAUCCGGAUUUAUUGAGUUUAAAGGGUGCGCAGGCGGAAGAUCAAGUCAGCGGUAAAAUUGAGAGGCUCAACCUCUUCGAGCCGUUGAAACUGGUUU
This 305-nucleotide ribosomal RNA is filed under the name uncultured bacterium. Its description in RNAcentral is "bacterial SSU rRNA". It matches the Rfam family "Bacterial small subunit ribosomal RNA", at positions 337 to 639 of the family's 1533-position model. The record is from RNAcentral.